Triticum aestivum (bread wheat) is the source of this 1596-nucleotide long non-coding RNA. RefSeq lists it as uncharacterized. The record is from RefSeq and is a predicted model, not a curated record. The transcript has 2 exons. NCBI's taxonomy places the organism in Eukaryota, Viridiplantae, Streptophyta, Magnoliopsida, Poales, Poaceae.
CAAGAAAAGAAAAACAACCCCUCAAUAAAAAAAAAGGGAAAAAGAUUGCGGUACCGGCUUCGUCUUCCGGUCCGGAAGGCUCCGUUCAGAUCGACGCCUCUGCUCCUCUGCUGUCGAUCCCUCCGCCCCCAAAUCUUCUACAUCGAGCCGUGCGGCGGCGCCGGCGGCGACAGAGAGCGUCGACCUCUCCCUCCUUCAACGCUACUUUCACGAGCAGCGCAGCAGCGGCGGCCGCCGAUCCCACUCUCGGCAUGAGAUGGAGGAAUCAGUCGACCCUACACACCGGAGCAAAAACGAUAGCGAUUCAAAGCAUUUCACUGCUGCUGGUGACGGUGCAGACGGGUUCGCUGCUGGUGCUGCAGGCCAUCGAAGGGAAUGAUAUGAGCAUGGCCGGUCAAUCAAUGGAGUCGUCUUUAGGGAAAUCAAGGAUUUUGCUUGAUUGAACCUUGCUCGUUUUAAUAUUUGUCACAGCCAAGGCCAUGUAAUAUUUGACAGAAAAAAGGGCAUGCAAUAAAGUAGUAGAUCAUACUAUCUCUACACACGCUGCAAAGUGUGACCCUCUGUAUGUUCAUCAACAGCGCCCGUCCGCCCCUCAAAUAUCUGCCCGUGUCCGCUGCUCUCGCGUCCGCAACCCCGCCACCGCCUGCCUCCCUGUCGGCCACCCCUCCCCUCCACCACAACCUAGAUCUGAUUAGCCCACCUAAAUCCAGCGAGACAACCCGCCAGGCGUGGCUCUCCAUCUCGGCGCAGGCGAGCGCUGUGCGACGUCCUGUGGAGGUGCUGAGAUCUAUAUCUCUGGCCUCCCCCCAGUGCGAGGUCGAGCUGAGAUCCGCGGUUGGGGUCGAGCUGGGGAGCUGCUCCGGAUUGGGAGAUUAUUGGUUUGCCGGCGGAGUUAGACGUGUUCGAGAGGGAGGCGCAGCGUGCGGCGAGAGCAGUUACAAAUGCUCGCCGUACUCUGGCGCUCAGGGCCAUGUCGCGGAGAUCCGAGCAGGACCGGCAGAGAACUUUUGCGGGAGGAGAGCUGACAGUGGAGAGAAUCCUAUACUGGGCUGCAAGGGAGGCGGGAUCGCAAUCUAGAGAACAGAGGAGGAGAUGGAGAUUGUUCAGGGAGUUUGGAUUGAGUUUGUCGAUUUGUGGUGCAGGAUUGGUCCGAUCUGAUGCUCAAUCCACGCCUCCAGAUUCUCCGGUUCGAGCAGUGCGCGGUAGUGAAGGUUGAUGAGCAGCGUGGCCGCUGGUGUUGGUGACGACGUCUCCUGAGAGGAAGGUCAACGAAGGGCGACGUGUCUCUGCCAGGAGGGCCCUACUUGUCGGGGGCUAUACAGCAGGGCGGGCUGACCAGGUGACACCUGGCUUGUCCUGGUUGGCCAGUAUCUCCCCCGAGCAUCGGGUAGUGGCGCCUAUGUAGAAGACGCCUUCUGCCGAAUAUAAUAGCAUAGUGGACAGGCUCGCAAAUCAAUCCCGAGCUAGGGUUCGUUGUUGUUGCAAAGAUAUCCUCGAUUCGCUGGUGUGGGUUAGGAAGGAUCUGUUUGUUAGUGGUGAAUUUACUACUAGAGAGGGUUUUCAGAUCAUCUACCUAUCCCAAAGCAAUUUAGUUUC